RNAcentral lists this long non-coding RNA (4991 nucleotides) under Nicotiana tabacum (common tobacco). RNAcentral describes it as "long non-coding RNA (NTAB_LNC019464)". The record is from RNAcentral. Lineage: Eukaryota; Viridiplantae; Streptophyta; Magnoliopsida; Solanales; Solanaceae.
CCCAUUUCCCUUAAAUGCCUAAAACCUAAUGUCAUUUUCCCUAACCUAGAGAACUUAGAUCAGACUAAAGGAGAUCCUCUUCUCUUUCACAAAAAAGGGCAGUCACCUCUCACCAUAGCUCACCCCAAAAUCUCCUCCCCCAGAUGAAAAAAUGCUGGCAGCUCUUAGAAAGAGAGGACUGCUCUCUCACUCUCUGAUGUUGAAGACCAAAAAUCGGUCCUCCAUUCCCUUAUCAUCGUCAAAUGGCUUCCCCUUUCUUCUCACUCAAUAAAACCUAGCCAUCUCAUUCGCCCAUCACUUUCACACACACACACACACUAGAAGAUAGGUGAAAGCAGCUUUUCAAACUAAGAUCUGGAAUUUCAAGAGCUUCAAAAACAAAAAAAAAGUAAAAAGAAGGAAGAAAGAACCAUGAAAGAUUCUUAAAUCUGGUCCGAUUUCUAUUGUGUUUAGUUUGAUAAUUUCUGGAUUUUCGAGUCGAUUUUUGGCUGGGAUUGGUGCUGUUUUCUGCCGAUUCUAUUGAUGACUUCGUUGAGCUCUAGGUACACACACUGAAGCCUUUUUGUUCAUGUUUAAUUUAUGAAAUCAAUUAGUUGAAAUUACUUUUGAAGGUGAUGGAUGAUUCCUGUUGAACUUGAAUUUUGUGUUAUGAGUUAUAUUCCUUGAUAUUAAUACUAUAUAGCUUUCAACUUCUUCUGAUUUGUCCCUUAUAUUUCAGCAUGAUUCAAUAAUGCUAAAUCUCUGUUUGCUCUUUGUGAAUCCAUGAAAUUGACUGAAAUUUGUUGGAAUUUAGCUACUAGAUCCUGGGAUUACACUGAAGUUUGCUGAAAUUUAUUUUAUAAUGGUUGGGCAUUAAAUUUAAAGUUUAGAAAGAGCUGGAUUAAAUGAAACUAUCGAACUGUCUUUUUGCUAUUACUGUAGUUUUUUUGUAUUAACAUUUAGAAAUGAAGAGUAGUAAAGUUGGUUGAAGUAAUGAUUUUGCUGUUUAAGGAAGCAUGGUAUGUGUGAAUUCAAGGCCCGUAUCAAUUGUUUGGUUGGAUCUGCUAUUUGAUUAGCAAAAGUUCUGAUAUAACUUUAUAAAACUCAUAGUUUGAAAUAAAAUAGCUUCCCAAUUUGUGAGGGUCUAUUUUGUUUACCCAUUAUACUUUGGAUCUGGUAGAAGUUCAUUAGUUUAGGUUGGAGUUUGUUUGGCUAAAAAAUUAAAUAGUGUUGCUAAUAUGCUUCAUAGAAUUUUGAUGGUUCUUGAUUAGUCCUUUUAGUUUCAUUUUGGUUUGCUAUAGUCCUUGUGUUAAUUAGAGAGAUCAUUGAGUUUCUUUUCUUGAAUUCACGGCCUCGAUUAAGUUUAGGACAAGAGAAUUGGGUCUACAAUAACCUUAAAAGUAAUUUGGAAAAUAACACAUGAACAUCUUAGCUUGCUUUAGGCGCGAAUAAUAAACAUAACUAUGGGUACAGUUCCCAUGGCAUAGUUGCGAUACAUAAAUCCAAAUUCGGGUGUACAUUUCAUGUGACCCCAUCAUAACAACUUUGAAUAAUAAUAAUAAAAUAAACAUGGCGCAAGUCGCAGGUGCUCCAACCUACGAACACCGUAUCAAUUACUACACGAUGUACUAGAACAUGACUGCAUACCUUUGCUGAAUUCUCACCAUGCACCACAUCAUUCAUGGACCAUAAUAACAUUCCUUCGUGAUAAUAACCGACAUUUCCUGAAUCCGAUGCUCACAAUGCGCCUCAUGACAUAUAUAAAUCUUGUCCCAACUUUUGCAAUAUCGCCACGACGGAAGAGAUGUGUAGACAUUCAUAGCCAACUGCCGAGUCAACAUAUCAUUGAGUCUAUACUCCUGAGAAGAAAUAUCAUCUCAUUCUGAACCAAAUAAUGGUAUUUGCUCUUCGAUAUACUUCAUAUAAUCCGAUCGCAGUGAUCCUAGAUCCAAAAAUCUCAUCUCACCAGUACAAACUGCUCAGGCAAUAAGCCACCCCAGACAUGACCAAAAGUCUCAUAUGAUGCCAAAAGGUGCCGAGAGGCCACAAACUUGAAUGUAAUACAUAAGAAAAACGAACACUGGAAGGGACUGCUCAACUCACGCAACUAAUAUGAACUUUCCUCAUAAAAUGGGAAACAAAACACACAAAAUUUAGAAUAUAGAAAACCGUACUCAACAUCACACUGUUGCAGCGUGCAACCCAAUCCAAAAAAUAUACCCAUGGUGGAAUGACACCUGAUCCACACAUAAAAUCCAUAUAAGGAGAUACAUACCAAGCUAGAGUGUUCAUUACUACCAAAUACCGAAUAUUGGCCACAAGCACGCUAAGUGCAUAAUACCAUUGUAACGACCCGACUAGUUGUUUUACUUUCUAGAACCAUGUUCCCCUAAAUAAGACUUCUCGUACUUGCUUUAACUGAUUUACGACUUGUAGGAAUGGUUGGUUUGGGAUUUGGAAGAGUUUGGAUUGAAAUUGGAAUACUUAGUUCCUUAAGGUUGGCUUAAAAUGCCAAGUUUGACUUUGGUCAACAUUUUUAGUAAACGGAUCCGUACUUGUGUUUUGAUGGUCUCGGAGUAUCCGUAGUAAAAUAUGGGACUUGGGCAUAUGCCCGGAAUCGAAUUCCGAGGUCCCUAGCCCGAGUAAUGAAUUUUUGUUAAAAAUUGUUAAACUGAAAAUCUAAGGAUUUAAAGAAAUGGAAUAAUGUUUGAUCAUGUUGGUAUAGGACCCGUAUGUUGAUUUCGGAGCCCGGUACAGGUCCAAUAUAACAUUUAAGUCAUGUCUGUGAAAUUGGUGAGAAACGAGACUGAUUUGACGUGAUUCAGACGUCUGGUUGAAAAAUAGGAAUUUCAAAUGUUCUCAAGGAUUUCAUGCGUUUUGGUGCUAAAUCCAUAGUUUUAAUGUUAUUUUGGCAAUUUGAUUGCACGAGCAAGUUGGUAUGAUAUUAUUAGACCUGUGGGAGUAUUUGGUGUGGAGCCCCGAGGGAUCAGGUGAGUUUCGGACGCGAGGGGGGAGUAGAAAACACACCAGAUUUCUGGUGUUUUUGGUUGCUGCAACAGAUCUCGCAAUUGCGAUAGAUUUGUUCGCAAAUGUGAACCUCUCAUUUGCGAGGAGGGCUUCGCAAUUGUGAAGGAACCCGAUCCAGGAAGAGUUCGAAAUUGUGAUAACUCUACCGCAUUUGCGAUCCCAUCAGAAGUAGCAAUUGCGACUCUUGGGUCGCAUCUGUGACCACAACAACAUAAGCCCAAGUUUUGCAUUUGCGACCCUCGCAUUUGCAAACCUGUUGUUGCAAAUGCGACAUUAGAGGGUUGUGUCCAACUUUUAAAAAAUGGGACUUAGGUUAUUUAUUUAAUUUUACUUCUACACUUGGGCGAUUUGGGAGCUUUCAAAGAGAGGAUCUCAACUUAGCAUUGUGAGGUAAGUUAUUUCUACUCAAUAUGAGUUUAAUACUUGGAUUUUGGGUAGAUUAACACACAAAAAUUAGUAAAAAUAAUGGGAUUUGAGUAAAAUCUAGGGUUUUGAUAAAAACAAGAUUUAACCACGAAAUUUGUUAUGGAAUGAAGUAGAAAUUAUAUAUUAUUGAUCCUUAGGUUAUGUGUAACGACUUCCCUCAAAAGUUUCUGGAAUCCAGGCACGUGGGCCCGGGGAUGGAUUUUAGGAAACUUGCACUUAGGGUUGGGGAACUACUUUAAUAGUUGGGACAUGAACUCUUGAGCUUGUAUUGACUAGUUCUUACCCCGUUUAACUAGUUUUGGAUCGUUCGGCUCCAAAUUGAGGGUUUGAGCACGUUCUUGAUAUUGGAAGUAAGCUUUGGAGCGAGGUGAGUCUCCUAUCUAACCUUGUAAGAGGGAAUUGUCCCCAUAGGUAAAAUAAUUGAAUAACUUGCCACUAAAUGCGGGGACUACGUACGCACAAGGUGAUGAGAGUACGUGCAUAGCCACUAUUAUGCUUAAGUCCGGAUAGUCUAGGACCAAAAACUAUGCUUUAUGUGCUAUUCUUGUAACUUUAUUGUCAAUUUAGAUUGCUUAAAUCACAUUGAAUGUGGUAAAUGAAUUUAUAAUGAGGAAGUUCAUUUUCUUGACCUUUUAAGGAGAAGUUGACAUUUCUUUGAGUAAUUUCUUCCCUGAUAUAUUCCUGCCUGCCUGUUUGUUGUGUUUAAUUAUAUUUGACCGCGUCGCAUGUAUGAUUUGCGAGUAGAGUAAUAGAUGCAUUUAUGGUUCGCGCCGUUCGACCCUCCGACAGUGCACACUUUAUUUUAUGUUGGAUCGGGCCAUACGACCUCGACACUAUUUGUGCAUGCUUUUUGCUCGGUACUUCCUGUGAUUUGAACUGUGUUAGAUGUCCCGAAAUGUAAAUGGUUAUCUGUGAUAUUAUCUAGGAAAGAACCGAUCACUUCAUGCUAUAUAUUGUUAUUUAUUUAUGAUAUCCAUGCUUAGCAUAACAUUUUCUUAUAUUAUUUGACUCUAGUAAGUAUCAAGUCGAUCCCUUGUCACUACCUUUUCGAGGUUAGACUGAAUACUUACUAGGUACAUAUUGUUUAUGUACUCAUACUACACUUCUGUACUAAAUUGUACAGGAUCUGAAGCACGUACAUUUGGCUACCCGUCUGGUGCGCAUCCUUGAUAGUAGGCCGAGAUUCCACGGUGAACUGCUACCUUCCUACCCCGUUCAGCAGCAUGAUGGAGUCUCUCUUUGUUUUUGACUGUCUAUUCUAUUUGAGACAGUAGGAUAGAUUUAUUAUUUUGUAUAUUCUACUAGAUGCCUAUAUACUUGUGACACCAGGUCUUGACACACACAUUGGUAGACUAUUCUUUUGGGUUGUAUAACCACUAUUUUACGUUACUAAUUAUCACUUGUUUUAAAUUCAAAUUAAGAAAAUGAUGGAAUUAUUUUGGUAAAGUAAAAUGAGAACUCACUAAUAUUUUCGGGUUGGCUUGCCUGACAACGGUGUUGGGCGUCAUCAUGACCUGUAAUGAAAAUGGAUCGUGACAACCAUCCCCGGGAAGACAGAC